UGCCAGCCGCCGCGGUAAUACGGAGGAUGCAAGCGUUAUCCGGAUUUAUUGGGUUUAAAGGGUGUGUAGGCGGAAGUGUAAGUCAGUGGUGAAAGCCUGCAGCUUAACUGUAGAAUUGCCAUUGAUACUGCUCUUCUUGAGUAUAGUUGAAGUGGGCGGAAUGUGUCAUGUAGCGGUGAAAUGCAUAGAUAUGACACAGAACGCCGAUUGCGAAGGCAGCUCACUAAGCUAUUACUGACGCUGAGGCACGAAAACGUGGGGAGCGAACAGGAUUAGAUA
Molecule: ribosomal RNA, 279 nt
Filed under: uncultured bacterium
Lineage: Bacteria
Description: partial 16S ribosomal RNA
Rfam family: Bacterial small subunit ribosomal RNA
Source: RNAcentral